Molecule: transfer RNA, 77 nt
Filed under: Acidimicrobiales bacterium
Lineage: Bacteria; Bacillati; Actinomycetota; Acidimicrobiia; Acidimicrobiales
Also listed under: 2 other names
Description: tRNA-Met
Rfam family: tRNA
About the family: Transfer RNA (tRNA) molecules are approximately 80 nucleotides in length. Their secondary structure includes four short double-helical elements and three loops (D, anti-codon, and T loops).
Source: RNAcentral
GGCGGCGUAGCUCAGCUGGUUAGAGCACACGGCUCAUAAUCGUGGGGUCGUCGGUUCGAGUCCGACCGCCGCUACCA